UUCCGGUUGAUCCCGCCGGAGGCUACUGCUAUCGGAAUUCGAUUAAGCCAUGCGAGUCGAGAGGGUUCGGCCCUCGGCUGACGGCUCAGUAACACGUGGAUAACUUGCCCUCAGGUAGGGGAUAAUCUCGGGAAACUGAGGAUAAUACCCUAUAAACAUCCUUUGCUGGAAUGCUUGGAUGUUCAAAGGCAACGCCUGAGGAUAGGUCUGCGGCCUAUCAGGUUGUAGUGGGUGUAACGGACCCACUAGCCCGCGACGGGUACGGGCCUUGAAAGAGGUAGCCCGGAGAUGGACUCUGAGACACGAGUCCAGGCCCUACGGGGCGCAGCAGGCGCGAAAACUUCGCAAUGCGGGAAACCGUGACGAGGGAAUUCCGAGUGCUCAUACAAUGUAUGGGCUUUUCUUAUGUGUAAAAAGCAUGAGGAAUAAGGGCUGGGUAAGACCGGUGCCAGCCGCCGCGGUAAUACCGGCAGCUCUAGUGGUAGCCACUUUUAUUGGGCCUAAAGCGUCCGUAGCCGGUCGGGUAAAUCCUUGGGUAAAUCGUACAGCUCAACUGUGCGGCUUCCGGGGAGACUGCCCGACUUGGGACCGGGAGAGGUUGGAGGUACUCCUGGGGUAGGGGUGAAAUCCUGUAAUCCUAGGUGGACCACCGGUGGCGAAGGCGUCCAACCAGAACGGCUCCGACGGUGAGGGACGAAGGCUAGGGGCGCAAACCGGAUUAGAUACCCGGGUAGUCCUAGCUGUAAACGCUGCAGACUUGGUGUUGGAGAUCCCACGAGGGUGUCCAGUGCCGGAGAGAAGUUGUUAAGUUUGCCGCCUGGGAAGUAUGGCCGCAAGGCUGAAACUUAAAGGAAUUGGCGGGGGAGCACCGCAACGGGAGGAGCGUGCGGUUUAAUUGGAUUCAACGCCGGGA
RNAcentral lists this ribosomal RNA (913 nucleotides) under uncultured archaeon. Its description in RNAcentral is "bacterial SSU rRNA". It matches the Rfam family "Archaeal small subunit ribosomal RNA", at positions 1 to 923 of the family's 1478-position model. The record is from RNAcentral.